UUCUUGAACUGUGUAUCUGGGUAUGUGUUUUUUCAGUUUUCUACACAUGGUGGAUUCUAAGCUUGCGCCACCAAGGAUUUGCACUUUCCCCUUGUCUGCUAAGUGUUUGGACACGGGAAACUUGUUGGACAUGGCCGCAUGCGUGUCCCAACCGUUUUUCUGCUCCAAAAUAAAAGGCUGAAACGCACUACCUCUAACACUGAUCUUCUUCCACUCACGCCGAUCUCUUCUUCUUUAGCUCUUAGAUCUAUAAUCCUAUUUCACUUUUACUGUUUUGCCCUUUGCCCUUUCUGUCCAUGUGUGCUUUUUAUUGCUUUGUCUGCCUCACAGUGUCCCACAUUAAGAGCUCUUUUAUCUCCUGCCACCCUCUUGAACAAAAGAUGUGUAAAUAGAUGUUUCUUUUCAAUUCUUUUUUUGUCUUUUAUGAGUUCUACCUCCUAUCAAGCCAGGUAGUCAACUUUUUACAAUUCUUAUUUCAUUAUUUAGGUGGCUAUACUUUAAUAUGCUUCUAAAAGAUUUUUUAACAAUUAUUUAAAAAUAUUUUUGUUAUAAAACAAAUUUUUCAGGUUUGUCUUCUGUGUCUUUAUUUGUAAUUUUGAAAGUUUUUAAGGUAUUCAUGUUCAUAAGAUAUGUUCUUUGGUGAUUGCCAUCUUCCAAUGUCUCUCUUAUAGAAUAAUAUUCUAAUUGCAUGAUUUCCUUAUGUGAUCAGUCUUUUAAAGAAAUGGUUGCAAUGUGUCUGGUGAAAGAUCCUGGAAAGGGGCGGAAUUUAUUGAAACACACCUUUUUCAAGCAUGCAAAGUCUCUUGAGAUUUCUGUGAAGAAAUGAUUCGCUGACUUGCCUCCCCCUUGGAAUCAUGUAAAAGCCCGCCAGGUUACCCAUCACAUUGCUGAGACGCACCUUUUGUACUUUCACUUGUCCUGGUAAGCUUGUGUCAUGGCUAUGGUUAAUUUUGCAGCUUAAAGAUUAGGUGCAACUCUGUAAGGAAGAAGAGGUAAUAUCACAGGUCAUAUACAUUUGUCCACGCCAUUAAAUUUGAACUUAAAAUGCACGUAGUGAUAUUUCUUUAAUUUUUAUCUAUAUUUACUACAUAUUUAAUUCAAUUGAAUUCAAUUUCUUAAGAAUAACCGAUGUAGGAUCUCUCACUUAACUUUAGUUAUCUGUCAAAACCGUCCCCAAUUUUGUUUUCCUCUUGUUCAUAUUGACUAAGUUCCCCUUUCCAUUUAGUUACACCGAUGAUAUGGAGCUUGAUGACGCUGUGUAUGCGGCUAUUUUGAUGCUAAAGGAGGGACGAAUAGUGAUUUUUUUGCUAAACUCAUGGUCUUUUGGGUCAAUAUUCACCUGGAAAGACAAAUUCUAUAAACAUUUGCUAAAAUACAACUAUCCAGGUACUUGAAACAGUGUUAACUGUGUUGGUGACUGUAGUUGAGGACAUCAAAUGCUCCGAUAUAGCUGAUGUUAUUGUUGAACUGAAUCUUCUGAGUGCUUCAAAUGCCCUUUAAAGAAGGGUCUCUUGCUCCAUUCUAAGCAAACAACGCAUCACAAAACCUUUAAGGUCUAGCCAAUGAGCUAGAUUCAACAAUAAUGGAAAGGAGUGUGAGAUCAUGAUUCAAGAAAUGUUGUGUGCAUGUAUAAGUACUUACCAAUCCAAUAAACAACAAAACUAUUAAGGUUUCAUUUGUU
Quercus robur (English oak) is the source of this 1681-nucleotide long non-coding RNA. RefSeq lists it as uncharacterized. The transcript is spliced from 5 exons. NCBI's taxonomy places the organism in Eukaryota, Viridiplantae, Streptophyta, Magnoliopsida, Fagales, Fagaceae. The record is from RefSeq and is a predicted model, not a curated record.